UACGUAGGGAGCGAGCGUUAUCCGGAUUUAUUGGGUGUAAAGGGUGCGUAGACGGGCUAACAAGUUAGUUGUGAAAUCCCUCGGCUUAACUGAGGAACUGCAACUAAAACUGUAAGUCUUGAGUGCAGGAGAGGUAAGUGGAAUUCCUAGUGUAGCGGUGAAAUGCGUAGAUAUUAGGAGGAACACCAGUGGCGAAGGCGACUUACUGGACUGUAACUGACGUUGAGGCACGAAAGUGUGGGGAGCAAACAGG
Molecule: ribosomal RNA, 253 nt
Filed under: uncultured bacterium
Lineage: Bacteria
Description: partial 16S ribosomal RNA
Rfam family: Bacterial small subunit ribosomal RNA
Source: RNAcentral